UCCAGCCCAAACUCCUUGAUCAGUCGAGCAGUUCAUGCAGCACUCCACUCUCCAAAGGAGAGAAGGUGACAUUACAGCUCCCAGACUGGCAGAAUUAACACCAGGAACAUUUCAUUCCAUGAAUCUUCCUCAGUGCGCUCCUUCUCCUGACAAAGCGACUUAGUAGUCAAAAUCCUGUCCCCUGAUAGAACUUGAAAAGGAGGAAUGAAGUGACCUGGUGAAGACUGUGGUAACUACUGGGCUGCUGAAUGGAGAUGAAUUUUGUCAACUUGCAUUCUGUGCCUUCGACUGUUUGAGCUCUUGGGCCCUGUGACU
This is a non-coding RNA of Zonotrichia albicollis (white-throated sparrow), 315 nucleotides long. Lineage: Eukaryota; Metazoa; Chordata; Aves; Passeriformes; Passerellidae. The record is from RefSeq and is a predicted model, not a curated record.